RNAcentral lists this ribosomal RNA (429 nucleotides) under Chloroflexota bacterium. RNAcentral describes it as "Chloroflexi bacterium partial 16S ribosomal RNA". It matches the Rfam family "Bacterial small subunit ribosomal RNA", at positions 355 to 776 of the family's 1533-position model. Lineage: Bacteria; Bacillati; Chloroflexota. The record is from RNAcentral.
UGGGGAAUAUUGCACAAUGGGCGCAAGCCUGAUGCAGCCAUGUCGCGUGUAUGAAGAAGGCCUUCGGGUUGUAAAGUACUUUCAGUCGGGAGGAAGGUGGUAAGGUUAAUAACCUUAUCAAUUGACGUUACCGACAGAAGAAGCACCGGCUAACUCCGUGCCAGCAGCCGCGGUAAUACGGAGGGUGCAAGCGUUAAUCGGAAUUACUGGGCGUAAAGCGCACGCAGGCGGUUGAUUGAGUCAGAUGUGAAAUCCCCGGGCUUAACCCGGGAAUUGCAUCUGAUACUGGUCAGCUAGAGUCUUGUAGAGGGGGGUAGAAUUCCAUGUGUAGCGGUGAAAUGCGUAGAGAUGUGGAGGAAUACCGGUGGCGAAGGCGGCCCCCUGGACAAAGACUGACGCUCAGGUGCGAAAGCGUGGGGAGCAAACAGG